RNAcentral lists this ribosomal RNA (504 nucleotides) under uncultured marine bacterium. Its description in RNAcentral is "bacterial SSU rRNA". It matches the Rfam family "Archaeal small subunit ribosomal RNA", at positions 1 to 507 of the family's 1478-position model. The record is from RNAcentral.
UUCCGGUUGAUCCCGCCGAAGGCUACUGCUAUUGGAGUUCGAUUAAACCAUGCGAGUCUAAGGGGUACUUGUACCCCUGGCAUAAUGCUCAGUAACACGUGGAUAAUCUACCCUCAGGUGGGGCAUAAACCCGGGAAACUGGGGCUAAUUCCCCAUAGACACAGAUAACUGGAAUGUUUUUGUGUUCAAAGCUCCGGCGCCUGAGGAUGAGUCUGCGGCCUAUCAGGUUGUAGUCAGGGUCAUGACCUGACUAGCCAGCGACGGGUACGGGGUGUGAGAGCACUCGCCCGGAGAUGGUUUCUGAGACACGAAACCAGGCCCUACGGGGCGCAGCAGGUGCGAAAACUUCGCAAUGCGGGAAACCGUGACGAGGGAACUCCAAGUGUCUAUGCAUUGCAUAGACUGUUUUUUAGCCUAAAUAGCUAUUAGAGUAAGGGGUGGGUAAGACCGGUGCCAGCCGCCGCGGGUAACACCGGCACCCCCAGUGGUAGCCACUAUUAUUGG